CAUUAAUUUCGUAGUGCAGGUCAAGUUUGCUUGCGACCGUCCCCAGUGUGUUCUACUUCUCCUAAACAAGACAGUGUUCAAUUCAUUAGUUUACUAUUUUCCAGAGACUAAAUAGACUUUUGCCCAUCACCAUGGCUCAGAAGAAGGUAACCAUCGAAUACUGUGGUUCCUGAGGGUACUAUCCGCGCUACCGAGAGCUGCACGAGAUGAUCGAGUCAGCAAUCAAAGGCGUGGAUGUUAGUGGCAAGCGGGGCAGACCUAGUUCAUUCGAGGUUAAGUUGAAUGGCCAGGUCUUGUAUUCCAAGCUCAAAAAUGGAGGGUUUCCAGACUUAGAUGCUAUUGUGGAAGCCAUCGAGGACUACAAGGGUGAAGGCACUGUAACUCCAGUGGAGAAGAAAGCAGCGUCAUGUAUCAUCUUGUAAAGAGAAUGGACACCCCCCCCCCCCACAGGUUUACUGGACAGAAUA
Strongylocentrotus purpuratus (purple sea urchin) is the source of this 467-nucleotide long non-coding RNA. RefSeq lists it as uncharacterized. The record is from RefSeq and is a predicted model, not a curated record. The transcript has 4 exons. Lineage: Eukaryota; Metazoa; Echinodermata; Echinoidea; Camarodonta; Strongylocentrotidae.